This 240-nucleotide unclassified non-coding RNA is filed under the name soil metagenome. RNAcentral's name for it is "partial contains 5.8S ribosomal RNA, internal transcribed spacer 2, and large subunit ribosomal RNA". The record is from RNAcentral.
AACGGUCUAUACCUGCGGUACCUGCGGAGGGAUCAUUAAUGAUUUUUCGGGGGGAUGUGCUGGCGUGGGGGCAACCCUGUGCAUGUGCACUCUCUCUAAAAUCUUCCACAUUCUCCUGUGCACUUGCCCUGGUAGACAAAAAAUGCUCCAAGUGUUUUGGAACUUGUCUAUCUCAGCUUUUUUCAACAUCUUCAUCACUGAAAAUGUGUUGUAAUUGAUACGAAAUGUGUAAUACAACUU